ACGCACGCUGGCGGCGUGCUUCACACCUGCAAGUCGAACGGAAAGGCCCCUUUGGGGGUACUCGAGUGGCGACCGGGUGAGUAACACGUGAGUAACCUGCCCUUGACUUCGGGAUAACUUCAGGAAACUGGGGCUAAUACCGGAUAGGAAUCCUUGCUGCAUGGUGGGGGUUGGAAAGCUUCGGCGGUUUUGGAUGGACUCGCGGCUUAUCAGCUUGUUGGUGGGGUAGUGGCUUACCAAGGCUUUGACGGGUAGCCGGCCUGAGAGGGCGACCGGCCACAUUGGGACUGAGAUACGGCCCAGACUCCUACGGGAGGCAGCAGUGGGGAAUAUUGCACAAUGGGCGGAAGCCUGAUGCAGCAACGCCGCGUGCGGGAUGACGGCCUUCGGGUUGUAAACCGCUUUCAGCAGGGGCGAAGCUUGUGGUGACGGUACCUGCAGAAGAAGCACCGGCUAACUACGUG
Molecule: ribosomal RNA, 464 nt
Filed under: uncultured bacterium
Lineage: Bacteria
Description: partial 16S ribosomal RNA
Rfam family: Bacterial small subunit ribosomal RNA
Source: RNAcentral